This 82-nucleotide transfer RNA is filed under the name bacterium. RNAcentral describes it as "tRNA-Leu". It matches the Rfam family "tRNA". From Rfam's summary of the family: Transfer RNA (tRNA) molecules are approximately 80 nucleotides in length. The record is from RNAcentral.
GCUCGAGUGGUGGAAUUGGUAGACACGAUGGAUUCAAAAUCCAUUGUCUUCGGACGUGGGGGUUCAAGUCCCCCCUCGAGUA